This 497-nucleotide ribosomal RNA is filed under the name uncultured bacterium. RNAcentral's name for it is "partial 16S ribosomal RNA". It matches the Rfam family "Bacterial small subunit ribosomal RNA", at positions 28 to 507 of the family's 1533-position model. The record is from RNAcentral.
GAUGAACGCUGGCGGCGUGCCUAACACAUGCAAGUCGAGCGAACAGACGAGGAGCUUGCUCCUCUGACGUUAGCGGCGGACGGGUGAGUAACACGUGGAUAACCUACCUAUAAGACUGGGAUAACUUCGGGAAACCGGAGCUAAUACCGGAUAAUAUAUUGAACCGCAUGGUUCAAUAGUGAAAGACGGUUUUGCUGUCACUUAUAGAUGGAUCCGCGCCGCAUUAGCUAGUUGGUAAGGUAACGGCUUACCAAGGCAACGAUGCGUAGCCGACCUGAGAGGGUGAUCGGCCACACUGGAACUGAGACACGGUCCAGACUCCUACGGGAGGCAGCAGUAGGGAAUCUUCCGCAAUGGGCGAAAGCUUGACGGAGCAACGCCGCGUGAGUGAUGAAGGUCUUCGGAUCGUAAAACUCUGUUAUUAGGGAAGAACAAAUGUGUAAGUAACUAUGCACGUCUUGACGGUACCUAAUCAGAAAGCCACGGCUAACUACGUG